AUCAUUGACGACGUAGCGAGACUA
This 24-nucleotide non-coding RNA is filed under the name Arabidopsis thaliana (thale cress). Lineage: Eukaryota; Viridiplantae; Streptophyta; Magnoliopsida; Brassicales; Brassicaceae. The record is from RNAcentral.